RNAcentral lists this long non-coding RNA (949 nucleotides) under Sus scrofa (pig). RNAcentral describes it as "lncRNA (ENSSSCG00045008938.1)". The record is from RNAcentral. Lineage: Eukaryota; Metazoa; Chordata; Mammalia; Artiodactyla; Suidae.
GAAUUCCUUCAUGGCUCAGCAGGUUAAGGAUUUGGCCACUGGCCACUGUCACUGCUCUGGCUCUGUUUACAGCUGUCAGGGGGGUUUGAUCUCUGGCCAGGGAUCUUCCGCAUGCCACAGGUGCAGCCAAAAAAAAAAAAAAGGGGAAUUCAGAUUGUCAUACUUUUAAUGUUUGCUGAACUAGUGAGUGCAAAAUGAUAUCUUAGUUUUAAUUUGUAGUUCCUGAAUAAUUAAUUUGGUUGAGUAUUUAUUUAUUCAUGUGUUUGUUGGCUUUUCUAAUUUCCUUAUCUACAAAGUAAAUGCAGUUCAUAUCUCUCUUUACUUUCUUAGCCCUUUUAUAUCCACAUGUGGAUGAGGAGUUAAAGAUACAUGAGUAGCACUGAGGCAGAUGAAGAGGAAUGAGGCAGAAUGAGUGUUCCAAGAAGAGAAGACACCAUAUUUGAAAUGCCAGACAUCAGUGAGAAUGUGGGGUGUUUGAGAAACCAAGAGAAAUCCUAUGCAUUAUGAUGCUAAAAUGCAAGCUUUGAUUUUAAGUCUUUUCAGGAGAGAAAUGGAGCCAUGGAACAAAAUGAUCUCUAAGUUUACUUCUGGAUUUAAAAACUUUGUAUCUGAAGUUGUUUCAAGUGAACUCAAAAAAGAAAAAAAAAAAAAGGGCCUUGACCACUCAGUUACCCAGUCCCAAAACCUGAGUUCUACUCUUCUUCGUCCUUCAGAGAGAGAUAAAAUGAUAAAACAAAUACUACAAAAUGUUAAUGGGUGAACCUGAAUAAAUAAUAUGUAAGUUUUCUGUCUACUUAUUUAUUUAUUUAUUUAUUUAUUUAUAUUUAUUUAUUUAUUUUUUGCUAUUUCUUGGGCCGCUCCCACGGCAUAUGGAAGUUCCCAGGCUAGGGGUCGAAUCGGAGCUGUAGCUACCGGCCUACACCAGAGCCACAGCAACGCAGGAUCUGAG